UGGGGAAUAUUGCACAAUGGGCGGAAGCCUGAUGCAGCGACGCCGCGUGGGGGAUGACGGCCUUCGGGUUGUAAACUCCUUUCGACAGGGACGAAGCUUUUUGUGACGGUACCUGUAUAAGAAGCACCGGCUAACUACGUGCCAGCAGCCGCGGUAAUACGCAGGGUGCGAGCGUUGUCCGGAAUUACUGGGCGUAAAGAGCUCGUAGGUGGUUUGUCGCGUCGUCUGGGAAAUUCCGGGGCUUAACUCCGGGCGUGCAGGCGAUACGGGCAUAACUUGGGUGCUGUAGGGGGGACUGGAAUUCCUGGUGUAGCGGUGAAAUGCGCAGAUAUCAGGAGGAACACCGAUGGCGAAGGCAGGUCUAUGGGCAGUAACUGGCGCUGAGGAGCGAAAGCAGGGGUAGCGAACAGG
This 411-nucleotide ribosomal RNA is filed under the name Bacillota bacterium. RNAcentral describes it as "Firmicutes bacterium partial 16S ribosomal RNA". It matches the Rfam family "Bacterial small subunit ribosomal RNA", at positions 355 to 776 of the family's 1533-position model. Lineage: Bacteria; Bacillati; Bacillota. The record is from RNAcentral.